Long non-coding RNA from Bufo bufo (common toad), 155 nucleotides. RefSeq lists it as uncharacterized. NCBI's taxonomy places the organism in Eukaryota, Metazoa, Chordata, Amphibia, Anura, Bufonidae. The record is from RefSeq and is a predicted model, not a curated record. The transcript is spliced from 3 exons.
UAGCUGUACACUGUGGAGGUGUUUUCAGUGAUUGAUAGCAUUCUCUGUGUAAGUGUGUAUACAGAGAUAGUUAUAGCUGUCAGUCACUGAUAGUUGUACAUGGGGAGGUGUUAUCAGUGAUUGAUAGCGUUCUCUGUGUAAGUGUGUAUACAUAG